UCUGCAACUCGACUACAUGAAGCUGGAAUCGCUAGUAAUCGCAGAUCAGAAUGCUGCGGUGAAUACGUUCCCGGGUCUUGUACACACCGCCCGUCACACCAUGGGAGUCGGAAAUGCCCGAAGCCGGUGACCCAACCAAAAGGAGGGAGCCGUCGAAGGCAGGUCUGAUAACUGGGGUGAAGUCGUAACAAGGUAGC
RNAcentral lists this ribosomal RNA (197 nucleotides) under uncultured bacterium. RNAcentral's name for it is "partial 16S ribosomal RNA". It matches the Rfam family "Bacterial small subunit ribosomal RNA", at positions 1304 to 1500 of the family's 1533-position model. The record is from RNAcentral.